RNAcentral lists this ribosomal RNA (450 nucleotides) under Vibrio parahaemolyticus. Its description in RNAcentral is "partial 23S ribosomal RNA". It matches the Rfam family "Bacterial large subunit ribosomal RNA", at positions 1123 to 1575 of the family's 2925-position model. The record is from RNAcentral. Lineage: Bacteria; Pseudomonadati; Pseudomonadota; Gammaproteobacteria; Vibrionales; Vibrionaceae.
UUAAAGAAAGCGUAAUAGCUCACUGGUCGAGUCGGCCUGCGCGGAAGAUGUAACGGGGCUAAGUAGUAAACCGAAGCUGCGGCAAUAUACUUUUGUAUAUUGGGUAGGGGAGCGUUCUGUAAGCGGUUGAAGGUGUGUGGUAACGCAUGCUGGACGUAUCAGAAGUGCGAAUGCUGACAUGAGUAACGAUAAAGGGGGUGAAAAACCUCCUCGCCGGAAGACCAAGGGUUCCUGUCCAACGUUAAUCGGGGCAGGGUAAGUCGACCCCUAAGGCGAGGCCGAAAGGCGUAGUCGAUGGGAAACGGGUUAAUAUUCCCGUACUUCUUACAAUUGCGAUGGGGGGACGGAGAAGGCUAGGUGGGCCUGGCGACGGUUGUCCAGGUUCAAGUGCGUAGGCUUAAGAGUUAGGUAAAUCCGGCUCUUUUUAAGGCUGAGACACGACGUCGAGCA